This 482-nucleotide ribosomal RNA is filed under the name uncultured bacterium. RNAcentral describes it as "SSU rRNA". It matches the Rfam family "Bacterial small subunit ribosomal RNA", at positions 26 to 523 of the family's 1533-position model. The record is from RNAcentral.
AGGACGAACGCUGGCGGCGUGCUUAACACAUGCAAGUCGAGCGAGGCCCUCUCUUCGGAGAGGUGCCCUAGCGGCGAACGGGUGAGUAACACGUGGGCAACCUGCCCCUAGCACUGGGAUAAGCCCGGGAAACCGGGUCUAAUACCGGAUAUGACCUUCAAGGGCAUCCUCGAAGGUGUAAAGGAUUCUGGCUAGGGAUGGGCCCGCGGCCUAUCAGCUUGUUGGUGGGGUAAUGGCCCACCAAGGCAACGACGGGUAGCCGGCCUGAGAGGGCGACCGGCCACACUGGGACUGAGACACGGCCCAGACUCCUACGGGAGGCAGCAGUGGGGAAUAUUGCACAAUGGGCGAAAGCCUGAUGCAGCGACGCCGCGUGAGGGAUGACGGCCUUCGGGUUGUAAACCUCUUCAGCUCCGACGAAGCGAAAGUGACGGUAGGAGCAGAAGAAGCACCGGCCAACUACGUGCCAGCAGCCGCGGUAA